UACGGAAGGCAGCAGUGGGGAAUAUUGCACAAUGGGCGAAAGCCUGAUGCAGCUAUGCCGCGUGUAUGAAGAAGGCCUUAGGGUUGUAAAGUACUUUCAUCGGGGAGGAAAAAACAAAACUAAUAAUUUUAUUUCUUGACGUUACCCGAAAAAGAAGCACCGGCUAACUCCGUGCCAGCAGCCGCGGUAAUACGGAGGGUGCUAGCGUUAAUCAGAAUUACUGGGCGUAAAGAGCACGUAGGUGGUUUUUUAAAGUCAGAUGUGAAAUCCCUGGGCUUUAACCUAGGAACUGCAUUUUGAAACUGAAAUACUAGAGUAUCGUAGAGGGAGGUAGAAUUCUAGGUGUAGCGGUGAAAUGCGUAGAUAUCUGGAGGAAUACCUGUGGCGAAAGCGGCCUCCUAAACGAAUACUGACACUGAGGGUGCGAAAGCGUGGGGAGCAAACAGGGAUUAGAUACC
RNAcentral lists this ribosomal RNA (458 nucleotides) under uncultured bacterium. Its description in RNAcentral is "bacterial SSU rRNA". It matches the Rfam family "Bacterial small subunit ribosomal RNA", at positions 340 to 786 of the family's 1533-position model. The record is from RNAcentral.